UUUUUUUUGUCUUUUUUUCUAGGGCCGCACCCGCAGCAUAUGGAGGUUCCCAGCCUAGGAGUCCAGUUGGAGCUACAGCCACUGGCCCUCACCACAGCCCCAGCAAGCCAGAUCGAGCUGCAUCUUCGAUCUAUACCACAGCUCACAGCAACGCUGUAUCCUUAACCCACUGAAUGAGGCCAGGGUUUGAACCCACAACCUCAUGGUUCCUAGUCGGAUUCGUUAACCGUGGAGCCAUGACGGGAACUCCCCAAUUUUUUUUUUUUUUUUGCCUUUUUGCCAUUUCUUGGGCCACUCCCAUGGCAUAUGGAGGUGCAGCCUUAAAAGAGACAAAAAGACAAAAAGAAAAAAACAGAAAAACAGGGAUCAAGGUUAUUUUGAAGACUUCUGCCUAUUUAAUAUCAUCGUAUGUGAAACAUGCAUUGUGUCCCCUAUGUGUGAUUCUUCAGCUACUGAAAGACUUGAACUCCAAGUCAAGGGAAUCGUCUCCUACCUCAAUCUUUAGAGAAAGACCUUAAAAUGCCCACACCUUGCAAAGAAAGAUGAAAGCAUGUGUGGCAGGAGUGGAGCAAAAUGGUCCCACUGAUUUCCACUGAUAUAACAGGCUUUCUGAGAACUGGGCUGAUGCGACUUGACUAUAAAAGACGCCUAUUUCAAUGGAACAGGUCAACUUGGAGAAGACACAGGAAAGAGAAGAGACGCCUGACAUGACAGACAGAAAACAUGGGCUUUCUACAGUUAAUCAAAUGGGCCCUGCCUGCAAAGCCAACAUGUCUCCUGAAAUCCAAACCUUUGAUUUUUGCAUGGCUGCCAGCUCAUUUCCAAAGCAUCCACUGCUAAUCAAACUUGUUUGGC
Molecule: long non-coding RNA, 855 nt
Filed under: Sus scrofa (pig)
Lineage: Eukaryota; Metazoa; Chordata; Mammalia; Artiodactyla; Suidae
Description: lncRNA (ENSSSCG00005012052.1)
Source: RNAcentral